Long non-coding RNA from Sapajus apella (tufted capuchin), 105 nucleotides. RefSeq lists it as uncharacterized. The transcript is spliced from 3 exons. NCBI's taxonomy places the organism in Eukaryota, Metazoa, Chordata, Mammalia, Primates, Cebidae. The record is from RefSeq and is a predicted model, not a curated record.
CUUAUCAACCAGUUCUGCCUCCUGAUCAGCCCCGGAGUCCGCUGUCCUGAAUCUUCCUGCUCCUGCUUCAUCCACUGUCUUUGGCAAUAGGAACUUUCCUAUUUC